This 288-nucleotide unclassified non-coding RNA is filed under the name Hevea brasiliensis (rubber tree). Lineage: Eukaryota; Viridiplantae; Streptophyta; Magnoliopsida; Malpighiales; Euphorbiaceae. The record is from RNAcentral.
UGUUGGACCAUACAGGAUUCUAUUGGUUGGAAUUACUUUGAAAUUUUUUAAAAACUAGCAAAAUGACUUGAAUCAAUAGUAAAACAAUAAUUUAACUAAAUAUGCAUCAUAAUCUUGUAGAUGCAAGCAAAUUGCUCCAUAACAUUGAUCUUGUGCACCUAACAAUUUAAAGUUGUUUAAAACAAAUUAUUGCUAACAUAAAAUAAAAAGAUGAUAAGAAUACCUUAUUUUGCAAAAAGCUUUUGGAGCAAAACUUGGAAUUGAGCAUAUCAAUGCAAAAUAAAGUUG